CCGCGGGAUUCCUACGGGAGGCAGCAGUGAGGAAUAUUGCGCAAUGGAGGAAACUCUGACGCAGCGACGCCGCGUGAAGGAUGAAGGCCCUCUGGGUUGUAAACUUCUGUAGAGAGGGAAGAAUUUUCGCUUUCGGCGAAUUGACGGUACCUCUAAAGUAAGGGUCGGCUAACUACGUGCCAGCAGCCGCGGUAAUACGGAGGGUGCAAGCGUUAUCCGGAAUCACUGGGUUUAAAGGGUGCGUAGGCGGCUAAAUAAGUCAGUGGUGAAAGGCCGUGGCUUAACCAUGGGAUUGCCAUUGAUACUGUAUAGCUUGAAUGAGGAUGAGGUUGGCGGAAUGUGGCAUGUAGCGGUGAAAUGCUUAGAUAUGCCAUGGAACAUCGAUUGCGAAGGCAGCUGACUGGACCUGAAUUGACGCUGAGGCACGAAAGCGUGGGUAGCGAACAGGAUUAGAUACCCUGGUAGUCCACGCCCUAAACGAUGCUUACUCGUUGCUUGAUCGCAAGAUUGAGUGACUAAGGGAAAACGAUAAGUAAGCCACCUGGGGAGUACGACCGCAAGGUUGAAACUCAAAGGAAUUGACGGAAUCACUA
RNAcentral lists this ribosomal RNA (593 nucleotides) under uncultured Bacteroidota bacterium. RNAcentral describes it as "bacterial SSU rRNA". It matches the Rfam family "Bacterial small subunit ribosomal RNA", at positions 328 to 924 of the family's 1533-position model. The record is from RNAcentral. Lineage: Bacteria; Pseudomonadati; Bacteroidota.